GAAAUGCGAUACGUAGUGUGAAUUGCAGAAUUCCGUGAAUCAUCGAAUCUUUGAACGCACAUUGCGCCCUCUGGCAUUCCGGGGGGCAUGCCUGUCCGAGCGUCAUUACGCACCCUCAAGCCCGGCUUGUGUGAUGGGCCCCGGCGUCUCGUUCGCGAGACGGGCCCGAAAGGCAGCGGCGGCGUCGACCCGAUGAGCCCGAGCGUAUGGGGACUUCUGUCACACGUUCGCGGUGCGGACCGGCGCCUGCUUGACUUUUCUGAUUAUCCAGGUUGACCUCGGAUCAGGUAGGGAUACCCGCUGAACUUAAGC
RNAcentral lists this unclassified non-coding RNA (312 nucleotides) under plant metagenome. RNAcentral describes it as "partial contains 5.8S ribosomal RNA, internal transcribed spacer 2, and large subunit ribosomal RNA". The stretch from base 1 to 105 matches the Rfam family "5.8S ribosomal RNA", at positions 50 to 154 of the family's 154-position model. The record is from RNAcentral.